AGCGAACGCUGGCGGCAGGCCUAACACAUGCAAGUCGAGCGCCGUAGCAAUACGGAGCGGCAGACGGGAUAGUAACACGUGGGAACGUGCCCUUUGGUUCGGAAUAACUCAGGGAAACUUGAGCUAAUACCGGAUAAGCCCCUACGGGGAAAGAUUUAUUGCCAUUAGAGCGGCCCGCGUCGGAUUAGCUAGUUGGUGAGGGAAUGGGUCACCAAGGCGACGAUCCGUAGCUGGUCUGAGAGGUUGACCAGCAUCACUGGGACUGAUACACGGACCACACACCUACGGGAGGCAGCAGUGGGGAAUAUUGGACAAUGGGCGCAAGCCUGAUCCAGCCAUGCCGCGUGGAUGAGGAAGGCCAUAGGGUUGUAAAGUCCUUUUAACGGGGAAGAUAAUGACGGUACCCGUAGAAUAAGCCCCGGCUAACUUCGUGCCAGCCGCCGCAGUAA
This 449-nucleotide ribosomal RNA is filed under the name uncultured bacterium. RNAcentral's name for it is "partial 16S ribosomal RNA". It matches the Rfam family "Bacterial small subunit ribosomal RNA", at positions 29 to 523 of the family's 1533-position model. The record is from RNAcentral.